UCUUCGGCAAUGGGCGCAAGCCUGACCGAGCGACGCCGCGUGUGCGAAGAAGGCCUUCGGGUUGUAAAGCACUGUCGGGGGGGAGGAAAGCCGCAAGGCCUGACCGACCCCCGGAGGAAGCACGGGCUAAGUUCGUGCCAGCAGCCGCGGUAAGACGAACCGUGCGAACGUUGUUCGGAAUCACUGGGCUUAAAGGGCGCGUAGGCGGGCCGCCGAGUCCGGGGUGAAAGCCCCCAGCUCAACUGGGGAAGUGCCCCGGAGACCGGCGGCCUCGAGGGGGGUAGGGGCGCGCGGAACUUCCGGUGGAGCGGUGAAAUGCGUAGAUAUCGGAAGGAACGCCGGUGGCGAAAGCGGCGCGCUGGACCCCCCCUGACGCUGAGGCGCGAAAGCCAGGGGAGCGAAC
This 403-nucleotide ribosomal RNA is filed under the name uncultured bacterium. RNAcentral's name for it is "partial 16S ribosomal RNA". It matches the Rfam family "Bacterial small subunit ribosomal RNA", at positions 362 to 773 of the family's 1533-position model. The record is from RNAcentral.